GCCUGGGUGGCUCAGUCGGUUGAGCGUCUGACUUCGGCUCAGGUCAUGAUCUCGCGGUCUGUGAGUUCGAGCCCCGCGUCGGGCU
Transfer RNA from Felis catus (domestic cat), 85 nucleotides. It matches the Rfam family "tRNA". Rfam says of the family: Transfer RNA (tRNA) molecules are approximately 80 nucleotides in length. Their secondary structure includes four short double-helical elements and three loops (D, anti-codon, and T loops). The record is from Rfam. NCBI's taxonomy places the organism in Eukaryota, Metazoa, Chordata, Mammalia, Carnivora, Felidae.